This 254-nucleotide ribosomal RNA is filed under the name uncultured bacterium. RNAcentral describes it as "partial 16S ribosomal RNA". It matches the Rfam family "Bacterial small subunit ribosomal RNA", at positions 524 to 776 of the family's 1533-position model. The record is from RNAcentral.
UACGUAGGGGGCGAGCGUUGUCCGGAAUUAUUGGGCGUAAAGAGCUCGUAGGCGGUUACGCAAGUCGGGUGGGAAAUCUCCAGGCUCAACCUGGAGCCUUCGCUCGAUACUGCGUUGACUAGAGUCCGGUAGGGGAGUGUGGAAUUCCCGGUGUAGCGGUGAAAUGCGCAGAUAUCGGGAGGAACACCGGCGGCGAAGGCGGCACUCUGGGCCGGUACUGACGCUGAGGAGCGAAAGCGUGGGGAGCAAACAGG